ACCUGUUCUUCAUAUAUUCUUGUCCUGAGAAAAGAAACCUAGUUUUUAAGAGUAGAAAAAUCGUGUGGAAGAAGAAGAAAUCUAGAAAUGCUGGACUCGAGAUUCUUUCAAAAGCUGAGUUUUUGAAUCCUGGGGGCAGCGUCAAAAUCAUUCAAGAGACUUUUGAUUCUGGAGAGCAAGUGCCAUGUGGUAAUUCCUGAUGGUGAUGCUACUGAGAAGGCUCAAAUACUGGAAGCUCUUGGUGCUGCUACUGUUGAAAGAGUGAGGCGUGUAUCAAUUACACAUAAAGAUUACUACGAUCAAUAUUGCAAGGAGAAGAGCUGAGUAAGCAAAAAGAUUUGAUCAAUAUAGCCAACUUGAUGCUGAAGACUCAGAAAAAACCGUUAGUCACAUAUUACAAGAUGAUCAGAAUCCAAUUUCUAUUUUCUCUAAUGAUUGUAAAGGGGGUUUCUUUGCUGAUAAAUUUGAGAACCUUGCCAACUUCUGGGAACAAACAAGUGGCGAAUUGGAUGCCUUUGUAGCAGCUGCAGGUACUGGUGGCACAGUUUCUUCAGGAAUAGAAUCUUAAGAGCUUUCUUGUUAAUUCUCCUGGUUCUGGACUGUUUAAUAAAUUGACAAGGGGAGUAAUGUAUACCCAUGAGGAGGCAGAGGGCCGAAGAUUAAAGAACCCAUUUGACACCAUAACCAACCGUCUGAUGAAGAAAUUUAUGAUGGCAAAACUUGAUGGAGCAUUCCGGUGUACAGAUAUGGAAGCAAUUGAAAUGUCUAGGAGUUGUUACGGAGAGCUCUGCUGAUAUCACUGCUAUGAGUCUUGCAACUGUGGCUCCUGCUUAUGGCUGCAAAUGCCAUGUGGUAAUUCCAGAUGAUGAUGCUACUGAGAAGGCUUUUGAUUCUGGAGAGCUUGUGCGAGGUAUUCUAUUAGUCUUGCAACUGUGGCUCCUGCUUAUGGGUGCAAAUGCCAUGUGGUAAUUCCAGAUGAUGAUGCUACUGAGAAGGCUCAAAUACUGGAAGCUCUAGGUGCUGCUACUGUUGACAUAGUGAGGCGUGUAUCAAUUACACAUAAAGACAACUACGAUCAAUAUUGAAAGGAGAAGAGCUGAGUAAGCGAAAAGAUUGGCAUCGAAGUAGGAAAAAGUUAAUCAACUUGAUACUGAAGACUCAGAGAAAACCGAUGGUCACAUAUUACAAGAUGAUCAGAAUCCAAUUUCCGUUUUCUCUAAUGAUUGUAAAGGGGGUUUCUUUGCUGAUCAAUUUGAGAACCUUGCCAACUUUCGAGCUCACUAUGAAGGAACUGGGCCAGAGAUCUGGGACAAACAAGUGGCGGAUUGGAUGCCUUUGUAGCAGCUGCAGGUACUGGUGGCACAGUUUCUUCAGGCUUUUGAUUCUGGAGAGCUUGUGCGAGGUAUUCUAUUAGUCUUGCAACGUGGCUCCUGCUUAUGGGUGCAAAUGCCAUGUGCUAAUUCCAGAUGAUGAUGCUACUGAGAAGCCGCAAUGCAAAGAUCUAAAACUGCUCUUAUGCUGCAAUCAAGCUAAAUACUAAAGAGGGAUAUUGGAACAAUAAAUUGAACAAGAACAUGAAGUUGUAAUUUUAUAAUGCCUUUCAUGAACUUUUCCAGUUGGGGGGAGUUGGGGGACUGCCUUGGACUUCCUUCGAGAUUCAUGUUUCCACUAGUAAGUAGUGUAUGAUUUUCAUAGAUACCCGAGCAUGAAUGAGGAUAAGUAGAAAUACGAACAUUCUCCGUUUAUCCAGAACAGUAAACUUUUGCUCAAAUGUCAAUGUACAGAAAUAUGCAACAUGUGCCUAAGAAAUAUAGUUUUCUUCUUUCAAUUUUCAAAGCUUCAGUAACAGGUUUAUCUCUUACAGUAUAAUGGAAGCUCAAAUACUGAAAGCUCUUGGUGCUAGUGUUGACAGAGUGAGGCCCGUAUCACACAAAGACCACAGACCACUGCGUCAAUAUUGCAAAGAUAAGAGCAGAGGAAGCCAAAGAAUCGGCAUCAGAACAGCAAAAAGUUGAUCAACUUGAUGCUGGAGACUCGGAGAAGACCAAUGGUCUCAUAUUACAAAACGAUCAGAAUCCAAUUUUUGUUUUCUCUAAUGAUUGUAAAAGGGGCUUCUUUGCUGCUCAGUGUGAUCAAUUUAAGAACCUAUUAAAUGACAGUUAAGGCAUUUCGUUUUA
Molecule: long non-coding RNA, 2177 nt
Organism: Papaver somniferum (opium poppy)
Lineage: Eukaryota; Viridiplantae; Streptophyta; Magnoliopsida; Ranunculales; Papaveraceae
Exons: 10
Source: RefSeq, a predicted model, not a curated record